UCAAAGCUCCUGAAUCAGGUCCAUUCUAUCCUUGCAUCAUAUUUCAUUUGCUUGCAUUUGUUUUUUUGGAUUUUCGGUUUAUGAUGAAAACAAAUGCAAGCAAAUGAAAUAUGAUGCAAGGAUAGAAUGGACCUGAUUCAGGAGCUUUGA
Molecule: microRNA precursor, 150 nt
Filed under: Brassica oleracea var. oleracea
Lineage: Eukaryota; Viridiplantae; Streptophyta; Magnoliopsida; Brassicales; Brassicaceae
Description: pre miRNA MIR530
Source: RNAcentral